This 497-nucleotide ribosomal RNA is filed under the name uncultured bacterium. RNAcentral's name for it is "partial 16S ribosomal RNA". It matches the Rfam family "Bacterial small subunit ribosomal RNA", at positions 28 to 507 of the family's 1533-position model. The record is from RNAcentral.
GAUGAACGCUGGCGGCGUGCCUAAUACAUGCAAGUCGAGCGAACAGACGAGGAGCUUGCUCCUCUGACGUUAGCGGCGGACGGGUGAGUAACACGUGGAUAACCUACCUAUAAGACUGGGAUAACUUCGGGAAACCGGAGCUAAUACCGGAUAAUAUAUUGAACCGCAUGGUUCAAUAGUGAAAGACGGUUUUGCUGUCACUUAUGGAUGGAUCCGCGCCGCAUGAGCUAGUUGGUAAGGUAACGGCUUACCAAGGCAACGAUGCGUAGCCGACCUGAGAGGGUGAACGGCCACACUGGAACUGAGACACGGUCCAGACUCCUACGGGAGGCAGCAGUAGGGAAUCUUCCGCAAUGGGCGAAAGCCUGACGGAGCAACGCCGCGUGAGUGAUGAAGGUCUUCGGAUCGUAAAACUCUGUUAUUAGGGAAGAACAAAUGUGUAAGUAACUAUGCACGUCUUGACGGUACCUAAUCAGAAAGCCACGGCUAACUACGUG